Molecule: ribosomal RNA, 658 nt
Filed under: uncultured bacterium
Lineage: Bacteria
Description: bacterial SSU rRNA
Rfam family: Bacterial small subunit ribosomal RNA
Source: RNAcentral
AGAGUUUGAUCCUGGCUCAGAAUGAAACCUGGCGGUGUGCCUAACACAUGCAAGUCAAACGACAAUUUAUUUGGAGUGGCGGACGGGUGAGUAACACGUAAGAACCUACCUUUAGGAGGGGGAUACCAUCCCGGGAAACUGGUGCUAAUACCCCAUAUGCUGAGAAGUGAAAUGGUAUUUAACCGCCUAGAGAGGGGCUUGCGGCUGAUUAGCUAGUUGGUGGGGUAAUGGCCUCCCAAGGCGACGAUCAGUAGCUGGUUUGAGAGGAUGAUCAGCCACACUGGGACUGAGACACGGCCCAGACUCCUACGGGAGGCAGCAGUGAGGAAUUUUCCGCAAUGGGCGAAAGCCUGACGGAGCAAUACCGCGUGGAGGAAAAAGAAGACCUGUGGGUUGUAAACUCCUUUUCUCAGAGAAGAAUACUGACGGUAUCUGAGGAAUAAGCACCGGCUAACUAUGUGCCAGCAGCCGCGGUAAUACAUGGGGUGCGAGGUUUAUUCGGAAUGAUUGGGCGUAAAGCGUUCGUAGGUGGUUUCACGAAGUCCACUGUCAAAGAUCAGGGCUUAACCUUGGGCAGGCAGUGGAAACUCGGAAACUCGAGUCAGGUGGGGGCUGAAGGAAUCAACAGCGUAACAGUGAAAUGUGUAGAUAUUGUUGA